Molecule: ribosomal RNA, 971 nt
Filed under: human gut metagenome
Description: bacterial LSU rRNA
Rfam family: Bacterial large subunit ribosomal RNA
Source: RNAcentral
CGAAAUUCCUUGUCGGGUAAGUUCCGACCUGCACGAAUGGCGUAACGACUUCCCCGCUGUCUCCAACAUAGACUCAGCGAAAUUGAAUUCUGAGUUAAGAUGCUCAGUACCCGCGGUAAGACGGAAAGACCCCGUGAACCUUUACUAUAGCUUGACACUGAACAUUGAGCCUUGAUGUGUAGGAUAGGUGGGAGGCUUUGAAGUGUGGACGCCAGUCUGCAUGGAGCCGACCUUGAAAUACCACCCUUUAAUGUUUGAUGUUCUAACGUUGGCCCGUAAUCCGGGUUGCGGACAGUGUCUGGUGGGUAGUUUGACUGGGGCGGUCUCCUCCUAAAGAGUAACGGAGGAGCACGAAGGUUGGCUAAUCCUGGUCGGACAUCAGGAGGUUAGUGCAAUGGCAUAAGCCAGCUUGACUGCGAGCGUGACGGCGCGAGCAGGUGCGAAAGCAGGUCAUAGUGAUCCGGUGGUUCUGAAUGGAAGGGCCAUCGCUCAACGGAUAAAAGGUACUCCGGGGAUAACAGGCUGAUACCGCCCAAGAGUUCAUAUCGACGGCGGUGUUUGGCACCUCGAUGUCGGCUCAUCACAUCCUGGGGCUGAAGUAGGUCCCAAGGGUAUGGCUGUUCGCCAUUUAAAGUGGUACGCGAGCUGGGUUUAGAACGUCGUGAGACAGUUCGGUCCCUAUCUGCCGUGGGCGCUGGAGAACUGAGGGGGGCUGCUCCUAGUACGAGAGGACCGGAGUGGACGCAUCACUGGUGUUCGGGUUGUCAUGCCAAUGGCACUGCCCGGUAGCUAAAUGCGGAAGAGAUAAGUGCUGAAAGCAUCUAAGCACGAAACUUGCCCCGAGAUGAGUUCUCCCUGAGACUUAGAGUCUCCUGAAGGAACGUUGAAGACGACGACGUUGAUAGGCCGGGUGUGUAAGCGCAGCGAUGCGUUGAGCUAACCGGUACUAAUGAACCGUGAGGCUUAACCUU